UACCCUUGACAUGCCUGGAAUCUUGCAGAGAUGUGAGAGUGCUCGAAAGAGAGCCAGGACACAGGUGCUGCAUGGCCGUCGUCAGCUCGUGUCGUGAGAUGUUGGGUUAAGUCCCGCAACGAGCGCAACCCUUGUCAUUAGUUGCUACGAAAGGGCACUCUAAUGAGACUGCCGGUGACAAACCGGAGGAAGGUGGGGAUGACGUCAGGUCCUCAUGGCCCUUAUGGGG
RNAcentral lists this ribosomal RNA (229 nucleotides) under uncultured bacterium. Its description in RNAcentral is "partial 16S ribosomal RNA". It matches the Rfam family "Bacterial small subunit ribosomal RNA", at positions 978 to 1208 of the family's 1533-position model. The record is from RNAcentral.